RNAcentral lists this ribosomal RNA (429 nucleotides) under Gemmatimonadota bacterium. RNAcentral describes it as "Gemmatimonadetes bacterium partial 16S ribosomal RNA". It matches the Rfam family "Bacterial small subunit ribosomal RNA", at positions 355 to 776 of the family's 1533-position model. Lineage: Bacteria; Pseudomonadati; Gemmatimonadota. The record is from RNAcentral.
UAGGGAAUCUUCGGCAAUGGACGAAAGUCUGACCGAGCAACGCCGCGUGAGUGAAGAAGGUUUUCGGAUCGUAAAACUCUGUUGUUAGAGAAGAACAAGGACGUUAGUAACUGAACGUCCCCUGACGGUAUCUAACCAGAAAGCCACGGCUAACUACGUGCCAGCAGCCGCGGUAAUACGUAGGUGGCAAGCGUUGUCCGGAUUUAUUGGGCGUAAAGCGAGCGCAGGCGGUUUCUUAAGUCUGAUGUGAAAGCCCCCGGCUCAACCGGGGAGGGUCAUUGGAAACUGGGAGGCGUGAGUGCAGAAGAGGAGAGUGGAAUUCCAUGUGUAGCGGUGAAAUGCGUAGAUAUAUGGAGGAACACCAGUGGCGAAGGCGGCUCUCUGGUCUGUAACUGACGCUGAGGCUCGAAAGCGUGGGGAGCAAACAGG